This 61-nucleotide transfer RNA is filed under the name Pseudoniphargus sorbasiensis. RNAcentral describes it as "tRNA-Phe". Lineage: Eukaryota; Metazoa; Arthropoda; Malacostraca; Amphipoda; Allocrangonyctidae. The record is from RNAcentral.
AUGGCGGUAGCUCAAAGAGAGCAUUACAUUGAAGCUGUAAAGGUAGUUAAACUCCGUGAUA